GAUGAACGCUGGCGGCGUGCUUAACACAUGCAAGUCGAACGAGAAGUGAAGACGGAAACCUUCGGGCGGAAGGCUUUAUUUCGAGUGGCGGACGGGUGAGUAACGCGUGGGUAACCUGCCUCAUACAGGGGGAUAACAGUUGGAAACGACUGUUAAUACCGCAUAAGACCACAGCACCGCAUGGUGCGGGGGUAAAAACUCCGGUGGUAUGAGAUGGACCCGCGUUCGAUUAGCCAGUUGGCAGGGUAACGGCCCACCAAAGCGACGAUCGAUAGCCGAUCUGAGAGGCUGACCGGCCACAUUGGGACUGAGACACGGCCCAAACUCCUACGGGAGGCAGCAGUGGGGAAUAUUGCACAAUGGGGGAAACGCUGAUGCAGCGACGCCGCGUGAGUGAAGAAGUAUUUCGGUAUGUAAAGCUCUAUCAGCAGGGAAGAAAAUGACGGUACCUGAGUAAGAAGCCCCGGCUAACUACGUG
This 478-nucleotide ribosomal RNA is filed under the name uncultured bacterium. Its description in RNAcentral is "partial 16S ribosomal RNA". It matches the Rfam family "Bacterial small subunit ribosomal RNA", at positions 28 to 507 of the family's 1533-position model. The record is from RNAcentral.